GGGAUUAGUGGCGAACGGGUGAGUAACACGUGGGCAAUCUGCCCUGCACUCUGGGACAAGCCCUGGAAACGGGGUCUAAUACCGGAUAACAGCCUCCAUCGCAUGGUGGGGGUUUGAAAGCUCCGGCGGUGCAGGAUGAGCCCGCGGCCUAUCAGCUUGUUGGUGAGGUAGUGGCUCACCAAGGCGACGACGGGUAGCCGGCCUGAGAGGGCGACCGGCCACACUGGGACUGAGACACGGCCCAGACUCCUACGGGAGGCAGCAGUGGGGAAUAUUGCACAAUGGGCGAAAGCCUGAUGCAGCGACGCCGCGUGAGGGAUGACGGCCUUCGGGUUGUAAACCUCUUUCAGCAGGGAAGAAGCGAAAGUGACGGUACCUGCAGAAGAAGCGCCGGCUAACUACGUGCCAGCAGCCGCGGUAAUACGUAGGGCGCAAGCGUUGUCCGGAAUUAUUGGGCGUAAAGAGCUCGUAGGCGGCUUGUCGCGUCGGUUGUGAAAGCCCGGGGCUUAACCCCGGGUCUGCAGUCGAUACGGGCAGGCUAGAGUUCGGUAGGGGAGAUCGGAAUUCCUGGUGUAGCGGUGAAAUGCGCAGAUAUCAGGAGGAACACCGGUGGCGAAGGCGGAUCUCUGGGCCGAUACUGACGCUGAGGAGCGAAAGCGUGGGGAGCGAACAGGAUUAGAUACCCUGGUAGUCCACGCCGUAAACGGUGGGCACUAGGUGUGGGCAAC
Molecule: ribosomal RNA, 728 nt
Filed under: Actinomycetes bacterium
Lineage: Bacteria; Bacillati; Actinomycetota; Actinomycetes
Description: bacterial SSU rRNA
Rfam family: Bacterial small subunit ribosomal RNA
Source: RNAcentral